GCCUUGGUAGCUUAGUCGGUGGAACACGAGACUCUUAAUCUCAGGGUUGUGGGUUUGAGCCCCAUGUUGGGCA
Molecule: non-coding RNA, 73 nt
Organism: Podarcis lilfordi (Lilford's wall lizard)
Lineage: Eukaryota; Metazoa; Chordata; Lepidosauria; Squamata; Lacertidae
Source: the annotation of a GenBank genome assembly